Mauremys reevesii (Reeves's turtle) is the source of this 2240-nucleotide long non-coding RNA. RefSeq lists it as uncharacterized. The record is from RefSeq and is a predicted model, not a curated record. Lineage: Eukaryota; Metazoa; Chordata; Testudines; Geoemydidae. The transcript has 7 exons.
CAGGCAGCUGCUAUAUAACAGUCUCUGAGGGACGUUCCCUCCCUUUUUCCUGCGGAGAAUCAGCGACGCUGGUUCAAGUGGCGGGGACUAUGGAGAUAAACUUCAUGGUGAUAUCCUGGAAGUUGUGCAGAAUAAUUAAGCCCUUCAUGAAAACAUCAACCGUUCUAGAAGACUAUAUGAUGUACAAUUGUGGAUGUUCCUGAAUAUUUAAGACAGAAUGUGACUUAUUAGCACGUAUCCAGUGGAUAAUGAAUCAGUGAAUGAAUAACUGACAGCGCAGUUGGGAUAUAAAACUACUUGCGAUUCUAGUACUACUAAAACAGAGAUCUCUGAAGGCUGACUCAAUAUUAAAGUGAAAUGGUGGAAAAUGUAGGAGCAGAUGCAUUUAGUUAUUCAGUGAUGAGGUGGAAUUUUUGUAUCAUCACCUGACAAGUGUGGAUAGUAUCACUGGAAGAAGUCUGACACCUGAAGAUACUCAGAUACCAAGAUUUUAACAACAAAAAAAGUUACAGGUUUAUGCUUCUGAAAUAGUUUGUGGAGUUUGGUAGUUAAUAUUUCUGAAACUUCACAUGGCCCAGAACCAGUUGGUCCCUGCCUCUUUUAAAACAGUGAGCAAUCAUGGUUUGUGGAAAUCUGAAGAUCUUGCCAAAAUUGAAGACUCAGCUCCCUCUAGUGAAACCAGAGCUGUCUUAUAAUAGGGAAACUGCACGUGGGAUCAAAGAAGAGAAAAUUCAGUUUUGCUAAAGUCAGUCUGAAAACAGAAGAUGUUAAAUCUGACAUGACUUCUCUCAGGAGAUUAUGGUGGCUGAAGGGAAAUAGAACAUAAACAGUGGGGAAAAAUUAGAUUUUAUCAGGAGAGGCUCCCCUACUCAGUAAACAAAAUAUUAAGGGCAACAAACAAUAAGCUUCAGGGGAAAAAACUUCAAGUGGCUAGCCAGUUUCCUGUGAAGGAAAUAAAGCACACUUUGAUAUUACUGGGGAAAAAUGUGUGCCCCAAACAGUAAUAAAAUGGGCAAUGGAAAACCCAGGCACCUUCUGUAGAAAGAUGGUGAGAGCACCAAUUAAUGUAGAAAAUCCUACUAAUGACACUUCCCCUCUGAGAGAAAUUUCAUUCAGGAAGUGAAAGAGGAAGAUCAGGUGGUAUUAAUCAGUGAAGCCACUGAGGAAGCAAAAAUCAGACAUUUGUAAGAAAGCAAAAUUCAACACAUUGUAGGAGUUGUGGUCACAAGAGAACUAGGCUUAAACCACAACCUGGGUUCUGUUGAUGCUGAUGGGGAAAGAAGUAGGUUUUUAUGCACCGCUGCACAACCGCAUGAUAAGACCAAUGCAUUGGUGUGGAACUCUUUUCUGUUGAGCAGAAAGAUGCUAGCAAUGCUAUGGUUUUUUUGUGAAAGAGGCCCACUCAGGAACUUCUGUUUUAAGAAACUUCUUGAAAAAUAACCAUGCCAUAAUGUGGGAGAAACAUCUCUGCUGCAUUCAGCAACUUAGCCCUCAUGCAGUAGAGAAAGAGGUGGAGGAGACAGGUCAUAACAUCUGAUAAAUUGCGGUCCACAAAUACUCCAGUCAGUGGCAUUCCAUCCAGUAUGCCUUCUAGUGUUAGGAAGGGAAGCAGAUACACAGGCAAACUACCCAUCGACUGACACAUACUUUGAUAUGUCUUUCAGAGUAGGUUAAGAAAAAUCCUGUAAUCUCCAUGCUUAAUACAUAACUGGCAACAAUGCUAGCAGUGGGUCUGCAGCCCUUUUAUUGGCCAGGGCAGAGGGCUUUCAGGCACUAAUGGAAUACCCCAUUCCCAAGUGGCAAAUACCUAGCAAAACCUACUUUUUGGCUAAGGCAAUACCAUAGUUGAACAAAACUCUGUGUUGCAGUGUCCAAGGCAUUGAGGCUGUCAAAGGUGAGGAAGAUCAAUCAGCCCACUGAAAUGUGGACCAGUGGUCAGACCAUGGACUGUGUAUCAGCUCAUUGGGUAUCUCUUCCUCUUCAGUUACCUGUGGUAGCAGGUAGUCAGAUACUUUGCCACAGCCUACAGCCCAACACCGGGCAACAUGCCAACUCCGUGUUUGAAGUUUUGAAACCCUAUAAUCCAUUGUGUAUUGGAGAAACUGCAGAAUGGCUUUCCUCUUGCUCACUUCUAGGAGGAUUUAUUACCAGAAUCUUAUACCGCAAUACAAGAACUAGGGGUCACCAAAUGAAAUUAAUAGGCAGCAGGUUUAAAACAAAAGGAAGUUCUUCUUCAUGCA